RNAcentral lists this ribosomal RNA (474 nucleotides) under uncultured bacterium. RNAcentral's name for it is "SSU rRNA". It matches the Rfam family "Bacterial small subunit ribosomal RNA", at positions 26 to 518 of the family's 1533-position model. The record is from RNAcentral.
AGGACGAACGCUGGCGGCGUGCUUAACACAUGCAAGUCGAGCGGAAAGGCCCUUCGGGGUACUCGAGCGGCGAACGGGUGAGUAACACGUGAGUAAUCUGCCCCUAGCUCUGGGAUAGCUCCGGGAAAACCGGGAUUAAUACCAGAUACGACCACUUUAGACAUCUUCUGUGGUGGAAAGAACUUCGGCUAGGGAUGAACUCGCGGCCUAUCAGCUUGUUGGUGAGGUAACGGCUCACCAAGGCGACGACGGGUAGCCGGCCUGAGAGGGCGACCGGCCACACUGGGACUGAGACACGGCCCAGACUCCUACGGGAGGCAGCAGUGGGGAAUAUUGCGCAAUGGGCGAAAGCCUGACGCAGCGACGCCGCGUGGGGGAUGAAGGCCUUCGGGUUGUAACCCCGUUUCAGCAGGGACGAAGCGAAGUGACGGUACCUGCAGAGAAGCGCCGGCUAACGUACGUGCCAGCAGCCGC